This is a long non-coding RNA of Mastomys coucha (southern multimammate mouse), 1246 nucleotides long. RefSeq lists it as uncharacterized. The record is from RefSeq and is a predicted model, not a curated record. The transcript is spliced from 2 exons. NCBI's taxonomy places the organism in Eukaryota, Metazoa, Chordata, Mammalia, Rodentia, Muridae.
UGCUUGACCCAUCGGCAAUGUCUAAGGUCUAUCACAGCUCUUGGAAUGAGCUUUACUUCUCUUUCAAUGUCCCAUCCUGCCUCCAGGCCCUUCCGAGAUGAGGUACCAGGGAGCCUGGAGUAGAUUCAAUUCAACUCAGAGAUCAGAGUUGAAAAGACUUGAAAGGUCACCACGGCACAGCCAUAGGUGAGCCUACAAAUGCAGCCCAUAACAGGUAAGUGAUGUGCUUGAGGGGCAUUCCUAUGCACAACAUGAGUCUUGGUUCCUAGACUAGGGUUUCUGUAGACAGUGGUAUCAUCUCUUGCCAGAUCCCUCCAUAGGGCCAGCAUGGGACUCAUAUUGAAAGGUAUGGAAGGCCAGGCUGUGGAACGGUUUGAAUGGGGGCAUUGAGAGUCAGCAGAUGCGCACGGAGAGUUCCAAAGAAAGUCUCUCUCCCAGCUGAGAUUUCUCUAGGCUGGCAAAUGAACCAGCUGAAGGAAGGGGCCCUGCUCCCAGCUGUGUUAUUGCUCAGCAAAUAUUUAUAUAACCUUUGCCAAGCCCCGCCUUUCCCACCAUCCCUGUACUUGGGAACAGGAGAGAAGUGAGCCUCAACAGAUCUUUGCACGGUGUGACUAUCUGCGCAUGCUUGUAUUAUGGCAGAGUUCUCCUGUCACACUUCCUGGCUCCCCUCGUGCCCCUGUGGGCCCUGUGCAUCACCCCUGCCCUGAAGUCCUCCAGCGGCUUUCCCUCAUCAUGGCCUGGCCCCUAGCUAUCUCCUGACCUCAUUUCUGACCACUCUGUCCUCUGUUUACUUUGCUUCAGUCCCACUGACCUCCUUCUGGUUCCCUGACCAUGUAUUUACUCUUGCCUUGGGCCCUUUGCACAGGCUGUUCGGUUUGCUGAAACCCUACGUCAACUGGCCUACACCCACUGCUCAUGGCUCGACCUUGCUCUUCCUUAUAGCGCAGCAUUAUUUAAGGCUGUAUUUUAAUUUUUAUUUAUUUCCUUGCCAUUUCACUCUCUAUGAGCCAGAGAACAACACCCGUGGUUUCUUCUCCUGUAUCUGCCGUGGCUCCCAUGCAGUAGCUAUUCUAUCAGAUAUACACUGAAUGCAUAAAUAAAAUAUCCUGAAAGUCAUUGGCACCAUCCCUCUUUUCAGAGUGAAGCAAGCACAGGCCAGGUAACAUCCCAGGUCGGUAGGAAAUAGCAAAUCGAAAAUGAAAUUGUAGUCCACCAGGCUUCAGAAGGCUCCAUAGAUUUGUCACUC